RNAcentral lists this ribosomal RNA (328 nucleotides) under uncultured bacterium. RNAcentral describes it as "bacterial SSU rRNA". It matches the Rfam family "Bacterial small subunit ribosomal RNA", at positions 568 to 898 of the family's 1533-position model. The record is from RNAcentral.
CGUGUAGGCGGUGCGGUAAGUUGGGCGUGAAAUCCCCGAGCUUAACUCGGGUGGGCCGUUCAAGACUGCCGUGCUAGGGCGCGGGAGAGGGAAGUGGAAUUUCCGGUGUAGCGGUGAAAUGCGUAGAUAUCGGGAGGAACACCUGCGGCGAAGGCGGCUUCCUGGACCGUAACCGACGCUGAGGCGCGAAAGCUAGGGGAGCAAACAGGAUUAGAUACCCUGGUAGUCCUAGCCCUAAACGAUGAGCACUGGGUGUGGCCCCUCACGAGGCCGUGCCGAAGCUAACGCAUUAAGUGCUCCGCCUGGGGAGUACGGUCGCAAGGCUGAA